GAUGAACGCUAGCGGCAGGCCUAAUACAUGCAAGUCGAACGGGAUCUGAGGGUAGCUUGCUACCCGAUUUGAGAGUGGCGCACGGGUGCGUAACGCGUGAGCAACCUACCCAUAUCAGGGGGAUAGCCCGAAGAAAUUCGGAUUAACACCGCAUAAUAAUACGCUAACACAUGUUGAUGUAUUUAAAUAUUUAUAGGAUAUGGAUGGGCUCGCGUGACAUUAGCUAGUUGGUAAGGUAACGGCUUACCAAGGCGACGAUGUCUAGGGGCUCUGAGAGGAAAAUCCCCCACACUGGGAGUGGGACACGGACCAGACUCCUACGGGAGGCAGCAGUAAGGAAUAUUGGUCAAUGGGCGCAAGCCUGAACCAGCCAUGCCGCGUGCAGGAUGACUGCCCUAUGGGUUGUAAACUGCUUUUGUUAGGGAAUAAACCUUCUUACGUGUAAGGAGCUGAAUGUACCUAAAGAAUAAGGAUCGGCUAACUCCGUGCCAGCAGCCGCAGUAA
This 504-nucleotide ribosomal RNA is filed under the name uncultured bacterium. Its description in RNAcentral is "partial 16S ribosomal RNA". It matches the Rfam family "Bacterial small subunit ribosomal RNA", at positions 28 to 523 of the family's 1533-position model. The record is from RNAcentral.